CCCGGCACAAGCGGUGGAGCAUGUGGUUAAUUCGAUGCAACGCGAGAACCUUACCUGGGUUUGACAUAUAGGUUGUAGGGAACUGAAAAGGGACCGACCCUUCGGGGAGCCUAUACAGGUGUUGCAUGGGCUGUCGUCAGCUCGUGUCGUGAGAUGUUCGGUUAAGUCCGCUAACGAGCGCAACCCUCGUCGUAUGUUAUAUGUGUCAUACGAGACUGCCGGUAAAAAGCCGGAGGAAGGUGAGGAUGAUGUCAAGUCAGCAUGACCUUUAUAUCCAGGGCUACACACACGCUACAAUGGUCUGUACAAUGGGUAGCCAAGCCGCGAGGCGGAGCCAAUCCUGAAAGCAGGCCUCAGUUCAGAUUGCAGUCUGCAACUCGACUGCAUGAAGCCGGAGUUGCUAGUAACCGCAGGUCAGCAAUACUGCGGUGAAUACGUUCCCGGGUCUU
This 449-nucleotide ribosomal RNA is filed under the name uncultured Anaerolineaceae bacterium. RNAcentral's name for it is "bacterial SSU rRNA". It matches the Rfam family "Bacterial small subunit ribosomal RNA", at positions 920 to 1382 of the family's 1533-position model. The record is from RNAcentral. Lineage: Bacteria; Bacillati; Chloroflexota; Anaerolineae; Anaerolineales; Anaerolineaceae.